GACGAACGCUGGCGGCGUGCUUAACACAUGCAAGUCGAACGGAAAGGCCCUGCUUUUGUGGGGUGCUCGAGUGGCGAACGGGUGAGUAACACGUGAGUAACCUGCCCUUGACUUUGGGAUAACUUCAGGAAACUGGGGCUAAUACCGGAUAGGAGCUCCUGCUGCAUGGUGGGGGUUGGAAAGUUUCGGCGGUUGGGGAUGGACUCGCGGCUUAUCAGCUUGUUGGUGGGGUAGUGGCUUACCAAGGCUUUGACGGGUAGCCGGCCUGAGAGGGUGACCGGCCACAUUGGGACUGAGAUACGGCCCAGACUCCUACGGGAGGCAGCAGUGGGGAAUAUUGCACAAUGGGCGGAAGCCUGAUGCAGCAACGCCGCGUGCGGGAUGACGGCCUUCGGGUUGUAAACCGCUUUCGCCUGUGACGAAGCGUGAGUGACGGUAAUGGGUAAAGAAGCACCGGCUAACUAGGUG
This 468-nucleotide ribosomal RNA is filed under the name uncultured bacterium. RNAcentral describes it as "partial 16S ribosomal RNA". It matches the Rfam family "Bacterial small subunit ribosomal RNA", at positions 28 to 507 of the family's 1533-position model. The record is from RNAcentral.